RNAcentral lists this ribosomal RNA (253 nucleotides) under uncultured bacterium. RNAcentral's name for it is "partial 16S ribosomal RNA". It matches the Rfam family "Bacterial small subunit ribosomal RNA", at positions 524 to 776 of the family's 1533-position model. The record is from RNAcentral.
UACGUAGGGGGCAAGCGUUGUCCGGAUUUACUGGGCUUAAAGAGCGCGCAGGCGGCUGGUCAAGUCCGAUGUGAAAUCUCCCGGCUCAACUGGGAAACUGCAUCGGAAACUGAUCGGCUUGAAGAUGGGAGAGGGUAGUGGAAUUCCCGGUGUAGUGGUGAAAUGCGUAGAUAUCGGGAGGAACACCAGUGGCGAAGGCGACUACCUGGCCCAUUCUUGACGCUGAGGCGCGAAAGCUAGGGGAGCGAACGGG